UACGGAGGUGGCAAGCGUUGUCCGGAAUUAUUGGGCGUAAAGCGCGCGCAGGCGGUCCUUUAAGUCUGAUGUGAAAGCCCACGGCUCAACCGUGGAGGGUCAUUGGAAACUGGGGGACUUGAGUGCAGGAGAGAAGAGUGGAAUUCCACGUGUAGCGGUGAAAUGCGUAGAGAUGUGGAGGAACACCAGUGGCGAAGGCGACUCUGUGGCCUGUAACUGACGCUGAGGCGCGAAAGCGUGGGGAGCAAACAGG
Molecule: ribosomal RNA, 253 nt
Filed under: uncultured bacterium
Lineage: Bacteria
Description: partial 16S ribosomal RNA
Rfam family: Bacterial small subunit ribosomal RNA
Source: RNAcentral